CUUCAGUGCGUACCCUGCUGUGAUUGGAGCUGCCAUUGGAGGGAUGCUCAUCGCUGCCAUAGCAACCAUUCUGCUGUUCAUGUACAUAAUCCGCAACCGCAACAACAACCCCCGACUCCAUGACAUGCUGUUUGGAAUGCAGCACAGCCGGUCCAGGGAGAACAUCAACCUGCCUGAUGAUGAGGUGAUGGGAGGAGUUGACGGAGAGGGAGGAGCUACAGAACAUUGCCCCUCCCCUAGCCCAGGUACCCUAAUGUCUCAUUAACAUAAUGAGAUGUAAUCUCCCCCCAGGCCCAUGUCAUUAAAGUAGUAAUAUGUAGCAAUCGCUCCGUGAUUGGUUGCCACAAUUCUGUUUGUCUAAUUUCAGUUUGAGACAAAACAAAACAAGUGUAGAAUAUUUACAUUGUAGUCAUUUAGCAGAUGCUCUAAUCCAGAGCAUAUCAUUGUAUACCCAAACUGUGAAAUAUAUUUUCAAUAACCUAAAAUAAUGUUUGAAGCUGGUGUAUCAAACACAAACUAAGACAAAACCAAAUUUAAGAAAAGGAAGCAUAUAGAGCACAAAGAACAGAUCUACCUCUUCUUAGACUUGCUUACAAUGAGAACGACAGAUCUAUAACUCACAUUUCUAUGUUAAUUUGGGUCACGUCACCCAAAAAGUUAUAUACUGGAUCUUUAACAUGUUAAUAAAUCCAAUCAGUUCUAUGAUGAUAAAUUAAUCUUCUCUUCUCUAGGUCCGUCCAUGUCCUCUCCUAGGGCUGCCUCCCCCCUCUCUGCCUCCCCCGUCUCCCCUCCUCUACCCGCUGAGGACAACGACCCUGUCACCGUCACCAUCACCGUCAUGGCAACGGGCUGAAGAUCACACACACAUCCAUACAUACUGGAUAAUGCUGCGUUCAUAACAAGUGGGAAACUCGGCAAAUACAAUUUGUAUUGAAAGUACAGCUAUCAUGCUCAAAAACAUUAGUGUUCAAAUACCAUACUAAUAGAUUGUUUUUCAUAAAUAAUGUUUUGCUGUUGCAUUUAACUUCCAAAAAUGCUGUUAUCAAGGUAAUUUCCUUAGUAUGUGAUGUCAGAGUUCAGCAUGUGGGAGAAGUCGAGGCUCAGAGAUGAUAGACGAGUUUCCCACUAGUAAUUAUCAGUUGGAAGGGCGUGCAAGUGGAUUUUUCCAAGUCAUGUGCUGGUAUUUACCAAUAUAAGAGAUGGUGUGAAUG
Salmo salar (Atlantic salmon) is the source of this 1211-nucleotide non-coding RNA. The record is from RefSeq and is a predicted model, not a curated record. Lineage: Eukaryota; Metazoa; Chordata; Actinopteri; Salmoniformes; Salmonidae.